AUUGGCGUAUAUUAAAGUUGUUGCGGUUAAAAAGCUCGUAGUUGGAUCUGUGUAUCGGACGGUCGGUUCGUCGCUCGCGGCGUUUAACUGACCGUUUCCGGACGUCCUGCCGGUGGUUGGCGCGCUCCGCAAGGGGUUCUACGCCAACCGUCACCUUCCCUCCGUGCUGCUCUUAACCGGGUGGCACGGUGGGCCGGCACGUUUACUUUGAACAAAUUUGAGUGCUCAAAGCAGGCCUACAGACGCCUGAAAACUGUGUGCAUGGAAUAAUGGAAUAGGACCUCUUUUCUAUUUUGUUGGCUUUUCUGAAACAGAGGUAAUGAUUAAUAGGGACAGACGGGGGCAUUCGUAUUGCGACGUUAGAGGUGAAAUUCUUGGAUCGUCGCAAGACGGACGGAUGCGAAAGCGUUUGCCAAGAAUGUUUUCGCUAAUCAAGAACGAAAGUUAGAGGUUCGAAGGCGAUCAGAUACCGCCCUAGUUCUAACCAUAAACGAUGCCAGCCAGCGAUGCGCCGAAGUUCCUCCGAUGACUCGGCGCGCAGCU
Molecule: ribosomal RNA, 543 nt
Filed under: Haplohyphes baritu
Lineage: Eukaryota; Metazoa; Arthropoda; Insecta; Ephemeroptera; Leptohyphidae
Description: SSU rRNA
Rfam family: Eukaryotic small subunit ribosomal RNA
Source: RNAcentral